Molecule: long non-coding RNA, 2740 nt
Filed under: Homo sapiens (human)
Lineage: Eukaryota; Metazoa; Chordata; Mammalia; Primates; Hominidae
Description: HSALNT0192953
Source: RNAcentral
AUAAAAACCAACCUUAUAAAACUAGGAGUACAAUCAGCCCUCUAUACCUGUUGGUUCCACAUCUGCGCAUUCAACCAACCACAGAUCAAAAAUAUUCAAAAAAUAAAAGAUAAUACAAAUUUUUAAAUGCAGUAUAACAACUAUUUAUAUAGCAACCUAAUGAAGAGAAUCUGUAAUAAACCUACAACUAACAUCAUUCUCUCUUUUUUUUCUUUUUUCAAGACAGGUCUUGCUCUGUUGCCCAGGUUGGAGUAAAAUGGUACAAUCACAGUUCACUGCAGCCUCGACCUCUCCAGUUCAAGUGAUCCUCCUGACUCUGCCUUCUGAGUGGCUGAGACUAUAGGCAUGCAUCAUUAUGCCUGGCUUUUUAAAAAACUUUUUGUAAAGAUGGGGUCUCCCUAUGUUGCCCAGGCUGAUCUUGAACACCUGGGCUCAAGGGAUCCUCCUGCCUUGGCAUCCCAAAGUAUUGAGAUUACAGGCAUGAGCCACCAUGCCUGGUCCUAACAUCAUUUUUUGGAUACUGCGCUUACUUCCUAAGAUCAAGAACAAGGGGGAAAAAAACCAUCUUUUCGAAGAUUAAAGAAUUUUUCUGUGGCACCGCAGAGCUGAGGAGCGAUUGGACACUGAAUGAGGGGUAUAGUGAAUCUGGCUCCGAGAGAAGCCCUCUAAAUGGAAUAGCAGCAGAAAGGAGAUGUGUGUAUGAGUUCUGCAGAAGUCCACCAAAUGUGGGCCAGGGUUAUUUCCCUGGUGAUGCUCUGAAGCUUUUGCCAAAGGACAAAUGGAAACAGGAAGUACAAUCAUGCACUGGGGUAAAGAAGAUUCAUCUGCUCUUAGCUACCUACCAUGCCAACACUCCUGAGAAAGCUCACAGAGGCCCAUGAUGCCCACCUGGAUCUGAGGACCUAGAAAGCCACAACAGGCAACCAUAAUCUGGGUCUUCCCUCAGCCAACUCCCCUGCAUAAAGUGAAUGAAUGAAAAACCCAUCUUAUAUUAAUCAGAGUUCUCUAGAGAAAAAGAACCAAUCAGAUGUGUAUAUAUAGAAAGAGAGAAUUAUUUUAGGGAAUUAGCUCACAUCAUUAUGCAGGCUGGUCAAUCAAAAAUCUGUGGAGUGGGCUAGCAGGCUGGAGACCCAGGGAAAGGCUAAAUUGCAGUUUAGAUCAGAAGGUCAUCUACUGGCAGAAUUCCCUCAUCUUCCAGGAAGGUGGAUCUUUUUCUACCAAGGCCUUCAGUUUAUUAGAUUAGGCCCAUGAACAUGCUGGAGGGUAAUCUGCUUUACUCAAUACAUACUGAUUUGAAUGUUAGUAUCAUCAAAAAGACCUUCACAGAAACAUCUAAAAUAAUGUUUGACCAAAUGUCUGCAUACCAUGGCCAAGCCAAGUUUACACAUAAAAUUAAUUAUCACACAUCCCACGAACACCAUCCCCAACAGAUGCUCAUGAGCAUUGUGGUUAUGAUUUCAACUUCAGAAUAAGGCAGAAAUGUGUACAAAUCCUGACCCUUUGACUUAUCAGCUCUCUAAAAAUCAUUAUAUGUCAACUUUCUAGACUUUACCUGAAAAACAGAAACCAAGAUACCCACAGCAUAAGAUUGUUAGGAUUGAAGAAAUUGUUACGAUUGUUAGGUAUGAAGAAAUUUAAACAAUGAUGCAGCUGAGAUAUUUAGAAUUGUACCUGGCAUGUACUUUGUAUUAAAUAACUAAUAAGGCCUUUUUCUGGUGAAAACAAAAUAAGCCUGGAUAAAAGAAGAUGAGACCAGAUUGGUUGAUGGCUCGGCCUGGGUGGGCUCCUGGCCCAUCUGAAAUUACAUUACUCUUAUGUAGUGCCUUUUUUGUUAUUGCUAAAAUAAAAUAAAUAAAACACUCUACUUUCAUACUUUGUAAAAUGCACUUCUCAUUCAGUUCCUCUUCCUGUGCCUUUUCCCUAUUGUCUAUCUGCACACAGCUGUUUUCUUCUGCACAUUUUCAUCACAGAGAAUUACCAGGUGUAGGUCAAAAGAUGCCACAGAGAUAACAAAGGAAAGGAAAAGCUUUUCUGCACUUCUAUCCUUGUAAGCACAAAAAUUAAUCACACUUUCAGUAAACAGGUCAGGUAAGUCAGUCCUGCACUUGAACCUUUUCUCCCCAAAUAAAUAGUUGAAAUGGGAAUGUCGAUUUCUGUAUUUGAACAGAAAUGUAUUAGUGUAGCUUUCAAAAGAAGACUACUCUCUCCAUAUGAAUAUCAUCAGACCCACAAAUACACAUAUGCAUACAUUCACAGUUCAUCCUAACGCUGCAGAAUAUUCUAAGAGUAACACAUUUCUGUACAAAUCAAGCAGCAGCUUUCACUUGCAUGCUAAUCUUCAAAUUAAUUCUGCAAUGAUCCAUUCAUUCCACAUCCCAACCUACAUCCUCAGAAAAACAAAGAUGUAAGUAAGGAACUCAGUAUAACAUGUUUGACUUUAGACACUACUCAAAUAUACUCAAACUUUAUAUGAAUAUGGAUAUUGCUCCUAGAUUAGGCAGUUCAGAAAACAAAUCUUGAUUAUUCUUAGUUACAAUGUAGUAUAAAAUAACAACAAUUUCAUGUCAACAACAGAAUCUCCUAAAAGAUCUUAUAAAGAUAAAAAGUCUUAGGUGUUAGUCGUCAAAGACUAAGUUGUAAAUGUAUCAUUGUAUUUGUGUAGUUAAUAAAACCCUAGACAAGAUAUGGGUUCCAGUUCUUGAACCACCACCACCUGUUCACCUUAAAUAAGUCAACUAAC